GAGUUUGAUCCUGGCUCAGGAUGAACGCUGGCGGCGUGCUUAACACAUGCAAGUCGAACGAAGCGCCUUAUUUGAUUUUCUUCGGAACUGAAGAUUUGGUGACUGAGUGGCGGACGGGUGAGUAACGCGUGGGUAACCUGCCCUGUACAGGGGGAUAACAGUCAGAAUGACUGCUAAUACCGCAUAAGACCACAGCACCGCAUGGUGCAGGGGUAAAAAACUCCGGUGGUACAGGAUGGACCCGCGUCUGAUUAGCUGGUUGGUGAGGUAACGGCUCACCAAGGCGACGAUCAGUAGCCGGCUUGAGAGAGUGAACGGCCACAUUGGGACUGAGACACGGCCCAAACUCCUACGGGAGGCAGCAGUGGGGAAUAUUGCACAAUGGGGGAAACCCUGAUGCAGCAACGCCGCGUGAGUGAAGAGUAUUUCGGUAUGCAAAGCUCUAUCAGCAGGGAAGAAAGUGACGGUACCUGACUAAGAAGCCCGGCUAACUACGUGCCAGCCG
Molecule: ribosomal RNA, 505 nt
Filed under: uncultured microorganism
Description: bacterial SSU rRNA
Rfam family: Bacterial small subunit ribosomal RNA
Source: RNAcentral